AUACGUAGGUGGCAAGCGUUGUCCGGAAUUAUUGGGCGUAAAGCGCGCGCAGGUGGUCCUUUAAGUCUGAUGUGAAAGCCCACGGCUCAACCGUGGAGGGUCAUUGGAAACUGGGGGACUUGAGUGCAGAAGAGGAUAGUGGAAUUCCAAGUGUAGCGGUGAAAUGCGUAGAGAUUUGGAGGAACACCAGUGGCGAAGGCGACUAUCUGGUCUGUAACUGACACUGAGGCGCGAAAGCGUGGGGAGCAAACAGGAUUAGAUACCCUGGUAGUCCACGCCGUAAACGAUGAGUGCUAAGUGUUGGGGGGUUUCCGCCCCUCAGUGCUGCAGCUAACGCAUUAAGCACUCCGCCUGGGGAGUACGGUCGCAAGACUGAAACUCAAAUGAAUUGACGGGG
RNAcentral lists this ribosomal RNA (397 nucleotides) under uncultured bacterium. RNAcentral describes it as "partial 16S ribosomal RNA". It matches the Rfam family "Bacterial small subunit ribosomal RNA", at positions 523 to 918 of the family's 1533-position model. The record is from RNAcentral.